This 299-nucleotide unclassified non-coding RNA is filed under the name uncultured Sordariomycetes. RNAcentral describes it as "sequence contains ITS1". The stretch from base 1 to 105 matches the Rfam family "5.8S ribosomal RNA", at positions 50 to 154 of the family's 154-position model. Lineage: Eukaryota; Fungi; Ascomycota; Sordariomycetes. The record is from RNAcentral.
GAAAUGCGAUAAGUAAUGCGAAUUGCAGAAUCCAGCGAGUCAUCGAAUCUUUGAACGCACAUUGCGCCCGCCAGCACUCUGGCGGGCAUGCCUGUCCGAGCGUCACCAGCAAACCCGUCAAGCCCGGCUUGUGUUGGGGGCCCGCGGCCGCCGCGGCCCCCGAAAUCCAGUGGCGAGGCCCCGCCGCGCCGAGCGCAGUAGACCCUGCCCGCUCCGGCGCGCGCGGGCGCCCCCCGCCGUAAAACGCCCCACAACGCAGAAUUGACCUCGGAUCAGGUAGGAAUACCCGCUGAACUUAA